This 495-nucleotide ribosomal RNA is filed under the name uncultured bacterium. RNAcentral's name for it is "partial 16S ribosomal RNA". It matches the Rfam family "Bacterial small subunit ribosomal RNA", at positions 28 to 508 of the family's 1533-position model. The record is from RNAcentral.
GACGAACGCUGGCGGCGUGCUUAACACAUGCAAGUCGAACGGUGAAGCGCCUUCCUUUUUGGUGGGUGUGGAUGAGUGGCGAACGGGUGAGUAACACGUGAGUAACCUGCCCCCUUCUUCUGGAUAACCGCAUGAAAGUGUGGCUAAUACGGGAUAUUCUGGGUCUGUCGCAUGAUGGGUCUGGGAAAGAUAUUGUUUCGGUGGGGGAUGGGCUCGCGGCCUAUCAGCUUGUUGGUGGGGUGAUGGCCUACCGAGGCGGUGACGGGUAGCCGGCCUGAGAGGGUGGACGGUCACACUGGGACUGAGACACGGCCCAGACUCCUACGGGAGGCAGCAGUGGGGAAUAUUGCACAAUGGGCGCAAGCCUGAUGCAGCGACGCCGCGUGAGGGAUGGAGGCCUUCGGGUUGUGAACCUCUUUCGCCAGUGAAGCAGGCCUGCCUCGUUUGUGGGUGGGUUGACGGUAGCUGGAUAAGAAGCGCCGGCUAACUACGUGC